RNAcentral lists this ribosomal RNA (504 nucleotides) under uncultured bacterium. RNAcentral's name for it is "partial 16S ribosomal RNA". It matches the Rfam family "Bacterial small subunit ribosomal RNA", at positions 28 to 523 of the family's 1533-position model. The record is from RNAcentral.
GAUGAACGCUAGCGGCAGGCCUAAUACAUGCAAGUCGAACGGGAUCUGAGGGUAGCUUGCUACCCGAUUUGAGAGUGGCGCACGGGUGCGUAACGCGUGAGCAACCUACCCAUAUCAGGGGGAUAGCCCGAAGAAAUUCGGAUUAACACCGCAUAAUAAUACGCUAACACAUGUUAAUGUAUUUAAAUAUUUAUAGGAUAUGGAUGGGCUCGCGUGACAUUAGCUAGUUGGUAAGGUAACGGCUUACCAAGGCGACGAUGUCUAGGGGCUCUGAGAGGAGAAUCCCCCACACUGGUACUGAGACACGGACCAGACUCCUACGGGAGGCAGCAGUAAGGAAUAUUGGUCAAUGGGCGCAAGCCUGAACCAGCCAUGCCGCGUGCAGGAUGACUGCCCUAUGGGUUGUAAACUGCUUUUGUUAGGGAAUAAACCUACUUAUGUAUAAGUAGCUGAAUGUACCUAAAGAAUAAGGAUCGGCUAACUCCGUGCCAGCCGCCGCCGUAA